Molecule: ribosomal RNA, 424 nt
Filed under: uncultured bacterium
Lineage: Bacteria
Description: bacterial SSU rRNA
Rfam family: Bacterial small subunit ribosomal RNA
Source: RNAcentral
UAAGGAAUAUUGGGCAAUGGACGCAAGUCUGACCCAGCCAUGCCGCGUGGAGGAUGAAGGCCCUCUGGGUUGUAAACUUCUUUUAUCUGGGACGAAACCCUCUUAUUCUUAAGAGAUUGACGGUACCAGAGGAAUAAGCACCGGCUAACUCCGUGCCAGCAGCCGCGGUAAUACGGAGGGUGCAAGCGUUAUCCGGAUUCACUGGGUUUAAAGGGUGCGUAGGCGGGUAAGUAAGUCAGUGGUGAAAUCUCCAAGCUUAACUUGGAAACUGCCGUUGAUACUAUUUAUCUUGAAUAUCGUGGAGGUAAGCGGAAUAUGUCAUGUAGCGGUGAAAUGCUUAGAUAUGACAUAGAACACCAAUUGCGAAGGCAGCUUACUACGCGGUCAUUGACGCUGAGGCACGAAAGCGUGGGGAGCAAACAGG